UGGGGAAUCUUGCGCAAUGGGCGAAAGCCUGACGCAGCGACGCCGCGUGAGUGAUGAAGGCCCUAGGGUUGUAAAGCUCUGUGGAGAGGGACGAAUAAGCCAAGGUGAAUAGCCUUGGUGAUGACGGUACCUUUUUAGCAAGCACCGGCUAACUCUGUGCCAGCAGCCGCGGUAAGACAGAGGGUGCGAACGUUGUUCGGAAUUACUGGGCGUAAAGCGCGUGUAGGCGGCCAAGCAAGUCGGAUGUGAAAUCCCGGGGCUCAACCCCGGAAGUGCACUCGAAACUGCCUGGCUGGAGUGUCGGAGAGGGAAGCGGAAUUCUGGGUGUAGAGGUGAAAUUCGUAGAUAUCCAGAGGAACACCGGUGGCGAAGGCGGCUUCCUGGACGAUAACUGACGCUGAGACGCGAAAGCGUGGGGAGCAAACAGG
Molecule: ribosomal RNA, 428 nt
Filed under: uncultured bacterium
Lineage: Bacteria
Description: bacterial SSU rRNA
Rfam family: Bacterial small subunit ribosomal RNA
Source: RNAcentral